This is a long non-coding RNA of Bos grunniens (domestic yak), 3324 nucleotides long. The record is from Ensembl. NCBI's taxonomy places the organism in Eukaryota, Metazoa, Chordata, Mammalia, Artiodactyla, Bovidae.
CCCAUGGACUGCAGCCCACCAGGCUCCUCCGCCCAUGGGAUUUUCCAGUCAAGAGGACUGGCGUGGGGUGGGGCAGCAAAGACUGUAGCGAGCAGACAGAUGGAAGGCGCUGGGGGAGCUUCGGCAGCAAGUGCAGCCCACGGGCAGGUGCACAGACCUGGGGAUGCAGCUGGGACCCUGGGGGCAGCCUGACGCCCCUAACGGCACAUCAGACGUCUGCCUGCAGCCCCCUGCCACCUUUCCCAGCCAUCAGGGCUCCCACACUGCGGGCGGAUUCUUUACCAUCUGAGCCCCCAGGGAGGCCGCUAGCGUGGAAUUAAUUCCACCCACCUGUGGGAUUCUGGCUUGGUCAGGUGGUGCUAGUGGGAAAGAACCCACCUGCCAAUGCAGGAGAUAUAAGAGACUCGGGUUCAAUCCCGGGGUCAGGAAGAUCUCCUGGAGGAGCGCAUGGCAACCCACUCCAGUAUUCUUGCGUGGAAAAUCCCACGGACAGAGGAGCCUGGCGGGCUGUAGUCCCUGGGGUCACACAGUUGGACACGGCUGAGUGGCUUAGCACGGGUGCCCGGCUUGGGAAAGAGGGUUGCAAUACUAGAAAGAGGCCACAAGAUGGCGCCCAGAAGAGGCCUUCCCCGAAUCCUGGGCACAGCCGCCUACAGGAGGCGUUGCGGGGCCUCACGGGCUAGGGGAACCUGCCCGUCAGCGCCCUCCCUCCCGAGGCAGGAGCUGCUUCCCAGGGCUGCAGGGAGAGGGGGAUUCAGCUCCUCCCUCCUGGCUUUCACAGGGCGAAGGCAGGGCUCACAGGACCACCCAGACCCCCUGCGGAAGGGCCCAGGAGAGGGCAGUUUCAAGCUCCCCGGGCGGGCCCAGCAAGUCCAUGGCGAGCGCACACCAGUGAGAACCCAGGUGUCCCUGCGGCACACACGUGACUCCACAGCACCGCUCGUCCUGACCUGCGUGCAGAGCCCAGCCCACGGCUGCUGGGGGGACGUGAACCCGCCCCCACUGCAGGGGAUCCGUCUGAGCCCCUCCUGAGGCUGACGCCCUGGGUGGCCCUGCAGUUUCCCCCCGGGAAAGGGGGUCUUGGUGGAGGAUCCGCGGUCGCCCCACAGCCUCACGUGACCACCCACGCGUGGGUUCAGGGUGACCCUCACACUGUCGUGCAGCCUCACCACCAUCAUCUCCAGAACUUCAUCUUCAGAAACUGAAAUUAUCCCCGUUGAACACUAACUGCCCCCCGGCCCAGACCCUGGCCCCCACCGCUCUGCUUUCCACCUCGGGAUGGGACUCCUCCAGGGACCUCUCAGCGUCCGUCCUUUUGGACAGGUUUAGCGCACUGGGCGCCGUGUCUUCAAGGUUCACCCGUGCCGUAUCACAUCAUGGAAUUUCCUUCCUUUUUAAGGUUGAGUAACGGCCAUUGUAUCAGGGCCCCCACAGCUAGCUGUCCUGAGUCAGAGCUGCAUGAACGUAGGGAUGCAGAGACCUUCUGGGUCACUGGCAGCUCUGGUAGUUUUUUGAGGAAACUCAACUCUUUUCCACCAUGGCGGCACGUUCACGCUCCCACCGCGUGGGCACGAGGGCUCCAGUCUCCUGACAUCCUCACCAGCUCUUGCUGCUUCCUGCUUUCUGCAGCAGCUAUCGGCCUUGUGCCUUUUCAUUCGCUCAUCUCUUUGGGUCUCUGGGUCUCAAGUGAGUCUCUGGAUGACAGCACACAGGGAUGGUGCACUUUAGUCCAUUCUGUCCAUUUCUUUCGGAACACUCAGUGCAUUUACACUUAAAGGACAAACUUACUUCCACCCUUUUGCCCUUUGUCUUCUAUACACCCCAUGGCUUUUGUCCCUCAUUUCCUGCAGCCCUGUCUUCUGUGUUUAACUGACUUUUCGCAGUGAAAUGUUUCAAUGCCUUCCUCAUUUCCUUUGUGUGCAUUCCCUAGCGAUUCUUUUGUGUUUACUAUGUGGAUUAUAUACAACAUACAAACUUCAACAACACACAAAACACUCUGCUCCUUUACGGCUCCAUCUCCACACCUUGCAUUUGUUGCCACAAAAUCACAUCUUAUACACUAUGUGCCCGCAAACACAAACUAAUAAUUAUUUCACACGCAUCAGUCCACUACAUUACGUAGGAAAUGAGAUUUAGAUUUACAAACCAAAGGUACAGUAACCUUGGCUUUGGCACCACCUUUUCUUCCUGUAAGGCACUCGUCUCUUAAACCAUGGACAAAAGGAAGACUGCAGAGCUACAGCCCAGGUUACAGAACCUGCUUCUGUAGCAGCCCGCGUCUACCUCGAGUGAGACCCUCAUCCCGCACACGGCUCAGAGGUGCCGUGGGUGCCCCUUGGCUCCCCUGCAGGGCUGUCUUGAGCAUUUCUUGAAGGGCAGGACUAGUGGUCAUGAGAUCCCUCAGCCUUUGUUUACCUGGCAAUGUCUUAUUUAGCCUUCACUUUUUAAGGACAUUUUUGUGGAUACAGGAUUCUUGGUUAAUACUUUUUCUUUGAGCACUUCUAAUAUGUCAGCCCCCUGCUUUCAGACCUCCAGAAUUUCUGAUGAGAAAUCUGCGGAUGAUCUUAUUCAGAGCAUUGUAUGUGGUGAUUCAUGCCUUGCUUGCUGCUUUUAAGGUUUAACCUUUGUCUUUGGCUUCUGAAAGCCUGAUUAUAGUGAGUCUGGAUGUGGGUCUCUUUGAGUUGAUCUUGUUGGAGUCCACUGAACUCCCUGGACUCAUGUCUUUCCACAAAUCAGGGAUAUUUUCAGCCUCUGUUUCUUCAAAUACCCCCCAGCCCCGCCUCUUCUCCUAGGAGCCCCACAACGUGCGUCUUCAUCUGAGAACUGACAGUGUCCCCGGGACUCAGGUUUCUUCAAAUACCCCCCCAGCCCCGCCUCUUCUCCUAGGAGCCCCACAACGUGCGUCUUCAUCUGAGAACUGACGGUGUCCCCGGGACUCAGGCUCACUUUCCCUCCAUUUUUCUUUUUGUUCCUCAGACUCAGUUUCCAUUGUCCUUUCUCCAAAUCCACUGAUCCCUUUUCCUGCACUCAAAUCUUCAUUUGGAUCCUUCUACUUUUCUUUUCUCCUUUGCUUUUCGCUUCUCUUCUUUUCACAGAUAUUUGUAAGGCCUCCCCAGACAGCCAUUUAACUUAUAUGAGUGAAAAAGUUGGCUUAAAGCUCAACAUUCAGAAGACGAAGAUCAUGGCAUCCGGUCCCAUCACUUCAUGGGAAAUAGAUGGGGAAACAGUGUCAGAGUUUAUUUUUCUGGGCUCCAAAAUCACUGCAGAUGGUGACUGCAGCCAUGAAAUUAAAAGACAUUUACUCCUUGGAAGGAAAGUUAUGAC